AUGACAAGGUGAGGUAAGGAGAGAGGAGGGAAGGAGAAAGGGAGAGGAACACAACUUCAAUAUUAUGUCACUACAAACCUUAUACCAGCUAUGAAAUUUCUUGACCUAAAGGAACUCCCACAAAGCAGGAUUUUACAUCUCCAUCGCAAGACCUGGUUUCAGAUGACCUAAAAGAAAAUUAGACAGCCAAGAAAAUUGGAAUUGAACUCUGAGAACACCUGAAAGCUUGAAAACACCUUGAUUUUACAAACCUAAGAUGUGUUUUCCUCAGGGAUGCAUUGUAUUCAGCAUAGAAGAUAAUUUCUGAAUCUAUCAUCAUGAUCACCUGUGCCCUGCAUACUUUCUUUGAUUCCACAUUUAUUUUCUGGAAUCCAUGGAAACAUCAAUGCAAUGUGUGCAACAUCAACUGGUAUUGAUAUUUUCUGUCCCUCGAGUAGCAUUGUUAUAAAUUUUUGUAGAUUUGAGAGCCUAGACACCUUGAAUUUUUCUUCCCAUAUGAUCAUAUUCACAAUGUCAGAUUGAUUUUGAGAUGAGAUCAUACUAACUCACAGGUAAGUCUUUCCAGUCCCUUUGUAGGGACUUAAUCUAUUUGUUCUUAAUCUAUUUGUAUUUAAUAGUAGUGACGUAUUUUAUUUCUUCUGAAAUGACUAAAUAUUUAAAAAAUUUAGU
Parus major (Great Tit) is the source of this 669-nucleotide long non-coding RNA. RefSeq lists it as uncharacterized. NCBI's taxonomy places the organism in Eukaryota, Metazoa, Chordata, Aves, Passeriformes, Paridae. The record is from RefSeq and is a predicted model, not a curated record. The transcript is spliced from 3 exons.